RNAcentral lists this ribosomal RNA (2383 nucleotides) under Staphylococcus pseudintermedius. RNAcentral describes it as "partial 23S ribosomal RNA". It matches the Rfam family "Bacterial large subunit ribosomal RNA", at positions 407 to 2795 of the family's 2925-position model. Lineage: Bacteria; Bacillati; Bacillota; Bacilli; Caryophanales; Staphylococcaceae. The record is from RNAcentral.
CCUGAGUACGACGGAGCACGUGAAAUUCCGUCGGAAUCUGGGAGGACCAUCUCCUAAGGCUAAAUACUCUCUAGUGACCGAUAGUGAACCAGUACCGUGAGGGAAAGGUGAAAAGUACCCCGGAAGGGGAGUGAAAGAGAACUUGAAACCGUGUGCUUACAAGUAGUCAGAGCCCGUUAAUGGGUGAUGGCGUGCCUUUUGUAGAAUGAACCGGCGAGUUACGAUCUGAUGCAAGGUUAAGCAGAAAAUGUGGAGCCGUAGCGAAAGCGAGUCUGAAUAGGGCGAAUGAGUAUUUGGUCGUAGACCCGAAACCAGGUGAUCUACCCUUGGUCAGGUUGAAGUUCAGGUAACACUGAAUGGAGGACCGAACCGACUUACGUUGAAAAGUGAGCGGAUGAACUGAGGGUAGCGGAGAAAUUCCAAUCGAACUUGGAGAUAGCUGGUUCUCUCCGAAAUAGCUUUAGGGCUAGCCUCAAGUGAUGAUUAUUGGAGGUAGAGCACUGUUUGGACGAGGGGCCCCUCUCGGGUUACCGAAUUCAGACAAACUCCGAAUGCCAAAUAAUUUAACUUGGGAGUCAGAAUGUGGGUGAUAAGGUCCAUAUUCGAAAGGGAAACAGCCCAGACCACCAGCUAAGGUCCCAAAAUAUAUGUUAAGUGGAAAAGGAUGUGGCGUUGCCCAGACAACUAGGAUGUUGGCUUAGAAGCAGCCAUCAUUUAAAGAGUGCGUAAUAGCUCACUAGUCGAGUGACACUGCGCCGAAAAUGUACCGGGGCUAAACAUAUUACCGAAGCUGUGGAUUGUCCUUUGGACAAUGGUAGGAGAGCGUUCUAAGGGCGUUGAAGCAUGAUCGCAAGGACAUGUGGAGCGCUUAGAAGUGAGAAUGCCGGUGUGAGUAGCGAAAGACGGGUGAGAAUCCCGUCCACCGAUUGACUAAGGUUUCCAGAGGAAGGCUCGUCCGCUCUGGGUUAGUCGGGUCCUAAGCUGAGGCCGACAGGCGUAGGCGAUGGAUAACAGGUUGAUAUUCCUGUACCACCAUUAUUCGUUUUAAGCGAUGGGGGGACGCAGUAGGAUAGGCGAAGCGUGCUGUUGGAGUGCACGUCCAAGCAGUGAGAUUGAGUGUUAGGCAAAUCCGGCACUCUUAAGAUUGAGCUGUGAUGGGGAGAGGAACUUGUUCCUCGAGUCGUUGAUUUCACACUGCCGAGAAAAGCCUCUAGCUAGAAUAACGGUGCCCGUACCGCAAACCGACACAGGUAGUCAAGAUGAGAAUUCUAAGGUGAGCGAGCGAACUCUCGUUAAGGAACUCGGCAAAAUGACCCCGUAACUUCGGGAGAAGGGGUGCUCUUUGAGGUUCACGCUUCGAAGAGCCGCAGUGAAUAGGCCCAAGCGACUGUUUAUCAAAAACACAGGUCUCUGCUAAACCGUAAGGUGACGUAUAGGGGCUGACGCCUGCCCGGUGCUGGAAGGUUAAGAGGAGUGGUUAGCGCAAGCGAAGCUACGAAUCGAAGCCCCAGUAAACGGCGGCCGUAACUAUAACGGUCCUAAGGUAGCGAAAUUCCUUGUCGGGUAAGUUCCGACCCGCACGAAAGGCGUAACGAUUUGGGCACUGUCUCAACGAGAGACUCGGUGAAAUCAUAGUACCGGUGAAGAUGCCGGUUACCCGCGACAGGACGGAAAGACCCCGUGGAGCUUUACUGUAGCCUGAUAUUGAAAUUCGGUACAGUUUGUACAGGAUAGGUAGGAGCCUUAGAAGCGUGAGCGCUAGCUUACGUGGAGGCAUUGGUGGGAUACUACCCUAAUUGUAUUGGAUUUCUAACCCGCAGCACUUAUCGUGCUGGGAGACAGUGUCAGGCGGGCAGUUUGACUGGGGCGGUCGCCUCCUAAAGAGUAACGGAGGCGCUCAAAGGUUCCCUCAGAAUGGUUGGAAAUCAUUCAUAGAGUGUAAAGGCAUAAGGGAGCUUGACUGCGAGACCUACAAGUCGAGCAGGGUCGAAAGACGGACUUAGUGAUCCGGUGGUUCCGCAUGGAAGGGCCAUCGCUCAACGGAUAAAAGCUACCCCGGGGAUAACAGGCUUAUCUCCCCCAAGAGUUCACAUCGACGGGGAGGUUUGGCACCUCGAUGUCGGCUCAUCGCAUCCUGGGGCUGUAGUCGGUCCCAAGGGUUGGGCUGUUCGCCCAUUAAAGCGGUACGCGAGCUGGGUUCAGAACGUCGUGAGACAGUUCGGUCCCUAUCCGUCGUGGGCGUAGGAAAUUUGAGAGGAGCUGUCCUUAGUACGAGAGGACCGGGAUGGACAUACCUCUGGUGUACCAGUUGUCGUGCCAACGGCAUAGCUGGGUAGCUAUGUAUGGACGGGAUAAGUGCUGAAAGCAUCUAAGCAUGAAGCCC